CCAGCCUAUGGGGGGCUGCAGUGGGGAAUAUUGGACAAUGGGCGCAAGCCUGAUCCAGCCAUGCCGCGUGUGUGAAGAAGGCCUUCGGAUUGUAAAGCACUUUAAGUUGGGAGGAGGCUACUUGGUUAAUACCAGAGUGGACGUUACCGACAGAAUAAGCACCGGCUAACUCUGUGCCAGCAGCCGCGGUAAUACAGAGGGUGCAAGCGUUAAUCGGAAUUACUGGGCGUAAAGCGCGCGUAGGUGGUUUGUUAAGUUGGAUGUGAAAUCCC
RNAcentral lists this ribosomal RNA (272 nucleotides) under Desulfovibrio desulfuricans. RNAcentral describes it as "partial 16S ribosomal RNA". It matches the Rfam family "Bacterial small subunit ribosomal RNA", at positions 335 to 603 of the family's 1533-position model. The record is from RNAcentral. Lineage: Bacteria; Pseudomonadati; Thermodesulfobacteriota; Desulfovibrionia; Desulfovibrionales; Desulfovibrionaceae.